This 730-nucleotide ribosomal RNA is filed under the name uncultured organism. RNAcentral describes it as "SSU rRNA". It matches the Rfam family "Bacterial small subunit ribosomal RNA", at positions 31 to 751 of the family's 1533-position model. The record is from RNAcentral.
GGGCGCUGGCGGCAUGCCUUACACAUGCAAGUCGAACGUUAGCAUGGAGAGCUUGCUCUCUGAUGGCGAGUGGCGAACGGGUGAGUAAUACAUCGGAACGUGUCCGUUUGUGGGGGACAACCGUCCGAAAGGAUGGCUAAUACCGCAUAAGACCUGAGGGUGAAAGCCGGGGACCGCAAGGCCCGGCGCAGACGGAGCGGCUGAUGAUUGAUUAGCUAGUUGGGGAGGUAAAGGCUCACCAAGGCGACGAUCAAUAGCUGGUCUGAGAGGACGACCAGCCACACUGGAACUGAGACACAGUCCAGACUCCUACGGGAGGCAGCAGUGGGGAAUUUUGGACAAUGGGGGCAACCCUGAUCCAGCCAUGCCGCGUGCGGGAAGAAGGCCUUCGGGUUGUAAACCGCUUUUGUCAGGGACGAAAAGCUCCGGAGUAAUAUGCCGGAGUGCUGACGGUACCUGAAGAAUAAGCACCGGCUAACUACGUGCCAGCAGCCGCGGUAAUACGUAGGGUGCGAGCGUUAAUCGGAAUUACUGGGCGUAAAGCGUGCGCAGGCGGUUGGGUAAGACAGAUGUGAAAUCCCCGGGCUUAACCUGGGAACUGCAUUUGUGACUGUCCGACUGGAGUACGUCAGAGGGGGGUGGAAUUCCACGUGUAGCAGUGAAAUGCGUAGAUAUGUGGAAGAACACCCGAUGGCGAAGGCAGCCCCCUGGGACGCAACUGACGCUCAUG